RNAcentral lists this long non-coding RNA (639 nucleotides) under Ursus maritimus (polar bear). RNAcentral describes it as "lncRNA (ENSUMAG00000014063.1)". The record is from RNAcentral. Lineage: Eukaryota; Metazoa; Chordata; Mammalia; Carnivora; Ursidae.
GCUCAGCCGCUCCUGGGUGGGCGUGGGGUGACUGGGUGAACUUGCGACCAGGUGAACCUGCGACCAGGAAGCGACUGGCUGGAAUGGGGAUGGCCAGUGGCCCGGGCCCCCCUGACCCAGCGGAGUUCUCGAGAGUGUAGGUGCCCUUCCGGCUUGUGCUAAGGAGAGCUCAUCGAGGAGGCUGGCUUCAGGAGGAUGCAAAUCCUGGGAGCUGCUGCUGUUGGAGAUUAUUUGUGCAUUGCAGCAAGGACCCUUGAGAGGGGAUGGAGUGUGGGGGUGGUUGGCGCCCGGCUCUGCCAUCCCUUAGUGUCUGGUCUUCCAGGGGCUUGUGCUCCUGAAAGUCCCACUGCCUCAGCAGAAAAGAAGGUAAGAACUGCUCCUGAAAUUACGAGGGAAGUCUGGUGUCCCCAGCCUUUGACACCUGGAGCUUGGGGGGAGACUGGCUGAGAGGACCGUCAGCAGAGAGGAAUCUGAAUGAAGGUGGACAGCUCAUCCUUCUCCCAUUCUACCCUGAGAAGUUAGAGGUGUGGGUGGCCUGCAGCCCAGGCGCCCCCCUCCAUCCCUCUGUGUCGUUGGACACAGGCACCUGUAAAGGUUUGCUGCUUCUUUUCCUUUUUUAAAAAAGAUUUUAUUUAUUUG